This 496-nucleotide ribosomal RNA is filed under the name uncultured bacterium. Its description in RNAcentral is "partial 16S ribosomal RNA". It matches the Rfam family "Bacterial small subunit ribosomal RNA", at positions 29 to 507 of the family's 1533-position model. The record is from RNAcentral.
AUGAACGCUGGCGGCGUGCCUAAUACAUGCAAGUCGAGCGAACAGACGAGGAGCUUGCCCCUCUGACGUUAGCGGCGGACGGGUGAGUAACACGUGGAUAACCUACCUAUAAGACUGGGAUAACUUCGGGAAACCGGAGCUAAUACCGGAAAAUAUAUUGAACCGCAUGGUUCAAUAGUGAAAGACGGUUUUGCUGUACCUUAUAGAUGGAUCCGCGCCGCAUUAGCUAGUUGGUAAGGUAACGGCUUACCAAGGCAACGAUGCGUAGCCGACCUAUGAGGGUGAUCGGCCACACAGGAACUGAGACACGAUCCAGACUCCUACGGGAGGCAGCAGUAGGGAAUCUUCCGCAAUGGGCCAAAACCUGACGGAGCAACACCACGUGAGUGAUGAAGGUCUUCGGAUCGUAAAACUCUGUUAUUAGAGAAAAACAAAUGUGUAAGUAACUAUGCACGACUUGACGGUACCUAAGCAGAAGGCCACGGCUAAGUACGUG